UGGAGUGUGGCUCAGUGGUAGAGCACUUGCCUAGCAUGUGCAAGGCCCUGGGUUCAACCCCCAGCACUUAAC
RNAcentral lists this transfer RNA (72 nucleotides) under Marmota marmota marmota (Alpine marmot). It matches the Rfam family "tRNA". Rfam says of the family: Transfer RNA (tRNA) molecules are approximately 80 nucleotides in length. Their secondary structure includes four short double-helical elements and three loops (D, anti-codon, and T loops). The record is from Rfam by way of RNAcentral. Lineage: Eukaryota; Metazoa; Chordata; Mammalia; Rodentia; Sciuridae. RNAcentral also lists the same sequence under 3 other names.